UUAAAGCGUCUGUCAACAGGAAAAUACAUGUGUGUAAAUGCAGAGAACUGUGGCGAUAUCUUUGGUAAAAGCAAAGCAAACGCUGAGAUCUAAAUUGUAUCGACUCUUAAUAGUUGACAUAGUGAACUGUUUGAAAAAUGCAUUGUGAUAUUGUAGACUCCUGACUUAAUUUCCAGCUAGCCAUCCGUGGAUAGGCUAAUAGAGCUACAUGAAGUUUCCCCACAUCUUUUUGUUGUAUCCCGUUUCAACAUUUGAACAAUAGCUAUGUUACUUAUUAAUAUGCAUGUUCACUGUUUGUGUUUGUUGUGUGAUGGCUAGCAACCUCCUGGAUUAAUAUAGUAAUACGUGUGUUUAUAAAGUGUACAGUAACGUUAAAUAAAGUAAGGACCUAAAACGAACUACAAUGACAAUUAUGCUUUUCAUAGAUACAUUGGAGAUAAGGAAGGUUGAUGGCUCUAGCAACGAGUCUCGAUCCAAAGUAUUGUUGGCUAAGCUUCAGAGGAAGGCCAAAGUCGAGGAGCAACAGAGCUCGGCAUGUCAAGGGGAACACAAGUCAAAAACAAUAGUUCAGAAUGACAGGGACACCUCUGCGAAGAAGAAAAUAAAAAACAAGGGAGACAACCUCGAGGAGACAAAACACCCAAAGAAGAGGAAAGAGCAAGUAAACCAACAUGUCUCCACCUGACCCUGAAGAACUUUCCAAAGGUGAUAAUGCAUGCAAAGAAGAAAAAUGCUACAAAAAAUAUACAACUAACAGAAGACAAAGAUGGGAUGAUUUUGAGAAAAAGAUUAUUCAAAAGGUACAAAGAGUCCUGCCCCAGUGGCUUACUGAGCCAGAUGUGAUCCAGAGAGAUAUUACAAGCAACCUAGUCCCCAUCAGUGAUGUCCCAGGAAUUUGUACUAGACUGCAACGGGAAUUGGAGGGCAAUGGAAUUCAGCAUCUCUUUCCAGGCACUGAUGGAGCGAGGUUUAUGUGACAUCCGGGUUUUGAAUGUGUUGCCCACCAAAGAGCUUGCACAGCAGGUUUGCAAAGUAUUUAGUUCAUAUGCGGAGGGCACCAGCUUGAAAGUGGUUAUAAUCGCUGGUCCAAAGUUUUUUGCCAAAGAGCAGGCAUCGGUCUCUGAAACCCAGUCAAGACACAUCAAGGUCUUUCUUCCUUGAGGUGGAACAAGCCACAGUUUGGCAGACAUUGUUGUCGCAACCCCUGGGAGACUGGUUGAUCACAUCAAUAAGUUUGGAACACCUCCGCUUCCUUGUGGGUCACUAAUACAAAUCAUUGAUGAGGCAGACCGGAUGAUUGACAGCAUGCACCAGUCUUGGCUCAGUCAGAUGACCAAGGCAGUUUACAGAUCCAAGAGAGGUUCUGAAGCAGUCUAGAUCUUCAAGAGGACAUAGCCUGCACUUAUCACUGCAGCAAGCUUGUCAACACCUCAGAUGCCUCUAACGGAAGCUCCUGUUCUCAGCCACACUGACUCAGAAUCCAGAGAAGUUGCAGCAACCAGGCCUGCAUCAGCCCAGACUCUUCAGCUUGGUCCAUAGUCAGUCAACGACCCCACCCUAAGUCUCAAGAGAGGUUCAACUUCCCCCAGGGCUUGACAAUUCUUUACCCCCAAAAAUUAUUGCAAUAGAUUUUUUAUUUCUCCUAUAUCCCAGAGCAAUGUGUUACUGUGGUCUCUUUUUUUGGAGAGUACUAUGUGCCCUGCACUUUGAGUAAGAGGCCCCUCCUCAUCCUCCAUUUCAUACUGUGCCUGAAGUUUAGUCCCAUUCUGUGCUUCACCAAUUCCAGAGAAUCCGCUCACAGGUUGGUGAAUCUUCCCUGGCCUUCUCCUUAAUGCAUUAUUUGAUGAUGUCCACAGCCAUAUGAUUUGCUCUCUGUUCUCUCUAACAGACUGUGUCUGCUAGUGCAGCUUUUUAGUGGAAUGCAGGCAGCUGAGUUCUCCUCACGACUCCCAAUGACAGGAGGAGAACCCUUAAGGAGUUUGAACAGGGAAAGACUUUUGACCAGCACUGAUGCUGCUGCCAGGGGCAUUGUCAUCAACGGGGUGAAACGUGUUGUGAACUACGAUGCACCACAGUUCUUCAGGACGUAAAUAGCUUGAUCGUUACACCUGUAACUGCAUUGGCUAAAUUGUAUUUGUUGUUGUAGCUUUUAUAUGCAAUGAAUGUUAUUAGAUGUUCUGCCUUCCUGUGACAGUAUUUGUGUUGGAAAAGGGUUGGAAAGACUGCAAGAGCUGGAAAAGCUCUUACAAAAAAAAAUAAUACACAAAGAGCAAUUGAGAUGAUGUGGAUGUGUGGCCAAGGCUGAAAUGAGAUCACUGCAGAAAGCAAUAUUCUGAAAAACAGCUUUGCUCCUGUGUUAAAACAACACAUUUCACUGCACCUAUCUGGUGUAUGUGACAAUAAAACAUAUUUGAUUCAAUAAUACACUGAAAAAACGCAACAUGUAAAGGGUUGGUCCAAUGUUUCAUGAGCUGAAAUAAAAGAUCCCAAAAAUGUUCCAUACUCAC
Molecule: long non-coding RNA, 2507 nt
Organism: Oncorhynchus gorbuscha (pink salmon)
Lineage: Eukaryota; Metazoa; Chordata; Actinopteri; Salmoniformes; Salmonidae
Exons: 9
Source: RefSeq, a predicted model, not a curated record